RNAcentral lists this ribosomal RNA (459 nucleotides) under uncultured bacterium. Its description in RNAcentral is "partial 16S ribosomal RNA". It matches the Rfam family "Bacterial small subunit ribosomal RNA", at positions 338 to 795 of the family's 1533-position model. The record is from RNAcentral.
CCUACGGGUGGCAGCAGUGAGGAAUAUUGGUCAAUGGCCGGAAGGCUGAACCAGCCAAGCCGCGUGAGGGAGGAAGGCGCAGAGCGUCGCAGACCUCUUUUGCCGGGGGACAAAAGGCCGGACUCGUCCGGUCCUGAGGGUACCCGGAGAAAAAGCAUCGGCUAACUCCGUUCCAGCAGCCGCGGUAAUACGGGGGAUGCGAGCGGUAGCCGGAUUAAUUGGGUUUAAAGGGUGCGCAGGCGGGCCUUUAAGCUGGCGGUGAAAUGGCGGGGCUAAACCCCGCCCAGCCGUCGGUACUGGGGGCCUUGAGUGCGGGGGAGGCAUGCGGAAUGCGCGGUGUAGCGGUGAAAUGCAUAGAUAUGGCGCAGAACCCCGAUUGCGAAGGCAACGUGCCGUGCCGCCACUGACGCUGAGGCACGAAAGCGCGGGGAUCGAACAGGAUUAGAUACCCUAGUAGUC